RNAcentral lists this ribosomal RNA (301 nucleotides) under uncultured bacterium. Its description in RNAcentral is "partial 16S ribosomal RNA". It matches the Rfam family "Archaeal small subunit ribosomal RNA", at positions 459 to 760 of the family's 1478-position model. The record is from RNAcentral.
CAGUCGCCGCGGUAAAACCAGCACCUCGAGUGGUCAGGAGGUUUAUUGGGCCUAAAGCAUCCGUAGCCGGUUGCAUAAGUUUUCGGUUAAAUCUAUGCGCUUAACGUAUAGGCCGCCGAAAAUACUGUGCAGCUAGGGAGUGGGAGAGGUACACGGUACUCGAUAGGAAGGGGUAAAAUCCUUUGAUCUAUUGAUGACCACCUGUGGCGGAGGCGGUGUACCAGAACACGUUCGACGGUGAGGGAUGAAAGCUGGGGGAGCAAACCGGAUUAGAUACCCCAGUAGUCCCUGUCUCUUAUAC